This 1377-nucleotide long non-coding RNA is filed under the name Homo sapiens (human). RNAcentral's name for it is "HSALNT0350258". Lineage: Eukaryota; Metazoa; Chordata; Mammalia; Primates; Hominidae. The record is from RNAcentral.
UGUGGAGACCCAGCUCUACCUUGUGCUCCAGGCUGGAGUCUUUAAACAUCAGUGAGAAUGGCUUGAUAUGCUCUCUUCUCAAUUUAUCGCCACUCCGCAAGUCGAUGGUAAAAAAUGCAAGCAACUUGCAGCCUCCCACCAUUUCACAGGGUUACACAGCACGAGACGGGGAAAGGCAUAACCACCACGGCUGGUCACUGGAUAUGGAUACAUGGAUGCAGAAACUGCAUUGGCUUACGAAGACACACCAGCCUCUCAGCUUGGCUAUGUUUAGAACACAGGCUAGAUGAAGAUAAGAUUAUGGAGUCAUCAAAUGGCAGCCUGUGAGAGGUGACAUAGGACCUUGCAGAUCCUCUUGCCAAACCUUCAGAUAUCGAUGAGCCUCAGAGAGACUUGCUCAUUUGCCGCCAAGCCAGAUCUGCUGACUCCAGGACCACAGCUGGAGUCAGGAGCUUUGACCUCUGUGAAGCCAUCCAGCCCACCCCAUAAGGAUUCUCCCUAUGGUGUUAUUGAACCCUUCAUUUUAACCUUCAUGAAGCUGGUGUUUUAGGUAUUUGGGAAGUCAGUUGGAGCAGCAGAAAUGGCAGAGUUUGCAGCUGAGAUGGCCUCUCAUGACUGAGUUUUUUCCCAAAAUGAUGUUGAAUUCCCUAGAUUUAUCCUAAUGGAGAUUCGUGCUCUCCUCAGAUGCUGAAACUGGCCCAGAAGUAACAAGUACAUAUUUGGCCCCAAAUCAUAUUAGUGGUUAGUGGCAGUGCUGGAUUGAGACAAGAACUUUUACUUUCAGCGUCUCUCUACCACCCUGGAACUGUAUUAUAUGGUAACUACUACCAGCACAACCACAAUAAAUAUUUACUGAGUACAGGACAAAGGACUUUAUAUGCAUUAUUUCAUUUAACACAAGUUCAAAAAUGGUGAUCUUCAUGGUGUGGUACUAAGGCCAGCAGUUCCUACCAGGAACUGGUAGAAAGCAUCAUCUUGAGUUCCAUGCCAGACAUACUGAACCAGAAACUCGGCAGUGGGGCCCAGCAAGCUAUGGUUUAAUAAACUCUCGGGUAAUUCCAAGGCUGAGGUUUGAGAACCGUUCUUCUAGAAACCCAAGGCUCAGUGGUGUUAAAGAAGAAGACAAUAAAAAAGUGGAAAAAUAUAUAACAAUAUCAAACCAUGGUGAGUCUGGGGUCCCGUUUUGACAUUCCUGCAUUUUGCACAUUGACAACAUGCCAUGGCUAAGCAGAGAUGGAUACUGAAUAGAAGACUAGACUACGUGCUUUAUAAGCACUAUCAUAUUUGAAACUACAUUUUUAAGGCGGAUAAUGUUUUCAGUCCAAAAUUACAGUGAAGAAACUGGGAAGGGCAUGAAGUACUUGCCACAAUCUUCCA